UACAGAGGGUGCGAGCGUUGUCCGGAAUCACUGGGCGUAAAGGGCGCGUAGGUGGCCCGACAAGUCAAUGGUGAAAGUUCGACGCUUAACGUCGAAUCGGCCACUGAUACUGUUGUGCUGGAGCACUGUAGAGGCUCAUGGAAUUCCGGGUGUAGCGGUGGAAUGCGUAGAGAUCCGGAAGAACACCGGUGGCGAAGGCGGUGAGCUGGGCAGUUGCUGACACUGAGGCGCGACAGCGUGGGGAGCAAACAGG
Molecule: ribosomal RNA, 253 nt
Filed under: uncultured bacterium
Lineage: Bacteria
Description: partial 16S ribosomal RNA
Rfam family: Bacterial small subunit ribosomal RNA
Source: RNAcentral